GGAGGCAUUUGGUGGGUUUUGAGUGAAAUACAAUACACCAACCACUCCAUUUCAGAACGAACUUCCUGCGAACCUGAAUUGUCAACUUUCGUGGACCGAUCGAUAUCAGAUUGAGUCCAAAAGUUGGGGAACGUCAUAAUAUUGUGGGAGGAGUCAUUUGGGGGGUUUUGAGUGAAAUCCAAUCUCUAGAACUAUACAAUACACCAACCACCCCAUUUCAGAACGAACUUCGUAAGAACCUAAAUUGUCCAAUUUCAAGGGCCAAUCGAUAUCGGAUUG
Molecule: long non-coding RNA, 279 nt
Filed under: Prunus persica (peach)
Lineage: Eukaryota; Viridiplantae; Streptophyta; Magnoliopsida; Rosales; Rosaceae
Description: long non-coding RNA (PPER_LNC008765)
Source: RNAcentral